GCAUCCGUAGCUCAGCUGGAUAGAGCGCUGCCCUCCGAAGGCAGAGGUCACAGGUUCGAAUCCUGUCGGGUGCACCA
This 77-nucleotide transfer RNA is filed under the name Allopontixanthobacter confluentis. Its description in RNAcentral is "tRNA-Arg". It matches the Rfam family "tRNA". Rfam says of the family: Transfer RNA (tRNA) molecules are approximately 80 nucleotides in length. Their secondary structure includes four short double-helical elements and three loops (D, anti-codon, and T loops). Further hydrogen bonds mediate the characteristic L-shaped molecular structure. tRNAs have two regions of fundamental functional importance: the anti-codon, which is responsible for specific mRNA codon recognition, and the 3' end, to which the tRNAs corresponding amino acid is attached (by aminoacyl-tRNA synthetases). tRNAs cope with the degeneracy of the genetic code in two manners: having more than one tRNA (with a specific anti-codon) for a particular amino acid; and 'wobble' base-pairing, i.e. permitting non-standard base-pairing at the 3rd anti-codon position. The record is from RNAcentral. RNAcentral also lists the same sequence under 4 other names. Lineage: Bacteria; Pseudomonadati; Pseudomonadota; Alphaproteobacteria; Sphingomonadales; Erythrobacteraceae.